This 522-nucleotide ribosomal RNA is filed under the name uncultured bacterium. RNAcentral's name for it is "bacterial SSU rRNA". It matches the Rfam family "Bacterial small subunit ribosomal RNA", at positions 8 to 525 of the family's 1533-position model. The record is from RNAcentral.
AGAGUUUGAUCCUGGCUCAGAUUGAACGCUGGCGGCAUGCCUUACACAUGCAAGUCGAACGGCAGCACGGGAGCAAUCCUGGUGGCGAGUGGCGAACGGGUGAGUAAUGUAUCGGAACGUACCAUUGAGUGGGGGAUAACGUAGCGAAAGUUACGCUAAUACCGCAUAUACCCUGAGGGGGAAAGCAGGGGAUCGCAAGACCUUGUGCUCUUUGAGCGGCCGAUAUCAGAUUAGCUAGUUGGUGAGGUAAAGGCUCACCAAGGCGACGAUCUGUAGCGGGUCUGAGAGGAUGAUCCGCCACACUGGAACUGAGACACGGUCCAGACUCCUACGGGAGGCAGCAGUGGGGAAUUUUGGACAAUGGGGGCAACCCUGAUCCAGCCAUGCCGCGUGAGUGAAGAAGGCCUUCGGGUUGUAAAGCUCUUUCGGCCGGGAGGAAAUCGCAUCAGUUAAUACCUGGUGUGGAUGACAGUACCGGAAUAAGAAGCACCGGCUAACUUCGUGCCAGCAGCCGCGGUAAUA